Long non-coding RNA from Pipistrellus kuhlii (Kuhl's pipistrelle), 10167 nucleotides. RefSeq lists it as uncharacterized. The record is from RefSeq and is a predicted model, not a curated record. The transcript is spliced from 2 exons. Lineage: Eukaryota; Metazoa; Chordata; Mammalia; Chiroptera; Vespertilionidae.
AUGAAUGAAUGAAUGAAAAUCUUAAUGCACGGUGUUGCUGCCUGAAUUGUCUCUUUCUUGCAUGUCCAGCAUCUAAUAUUGUACAACUUAGUGUUAAUGUCAGUUUUAAUGAGAUUAAUUUAUUACUACGUAAGUACCUUUUUGUUAGCUAAAGGCACUUUUCUGUUCUUUGAUGUGAACUUUGCAUAAAUAUUCUGCAUCUAAGAUUUUGUGGACAUGGGUCUGUGCCAUAAUCAACAAAUGAUAAACAUUUUAGGCAAACCAUUUUUGUCAACCUAUCAUAAAGAGUAGGUAUGCACAUUAAGAAAAUUCUCUGGAUAGUUUCAUAAAAUUACAUAUUCUGUUUUCUGACAACAUUAUGCUUUCCAAACCAAAAUUUCCACAUUUGUUCUUAUUUUCCCACUUCAAUUUGAAAAUUAUUUAAUGCUGUGUUUGCAUUUAUGUAUAAUAAUGAUUGACAUCCAGGAAUUUCUUCAAUGUCUCAACUGUGGUUUGUAUACUGGUCGUAUACAAACUCACCCACUAGCUAAGGUUACAAGUGACAUGAACUUCCUCCCAACAAGAAAAAUUAAAAAAUUUUUAAAGGCCUUUACAUUAUUAUUAUUAUCUCAUGUAAUUCUUAUAUCUUAUCAGGUAGAUAUUACUUUCUUUUUCUAAUCACCAUACUUCACUGUAGCUCAUUAAGAGUCAACAUUGCAAUUAUCAAAUCUUUGAAAGCCAAAGGCAUACAUAUCAACAUGUCAUGAAAAUAUCUUCAAGUAAUCUCUUUUUAGAUAUUAUAUGCCAAAAAUUAAUUAUAACAUUUAAAAAUGUUCUAUAUAUAAGAAGUAAGCAGGGUACUGUACUGAUCCAGUGGUGACAAUUUUCAUAAAGUAAUCUUUUAGGUAGGUGCUCAAUAGAAAUAUAUACACUCACACACAUAUAUAUACAUAUACACACAUAUAUGUAUAUACACCCAUAUACAUUUAUAUGCAUAUUUACAUUUAUAAUCACAAAAUAUGCUCUCAUUGAUAUUUUCUAGACAACUGUUUGCUGAAUGCUUAAAGAGAAAUAUUGGUGGGAAAGCAUUAAAAUGAACUAUUGUCAGACAUAUUUAAUUAUAUCAAAGAAGUUUGUUUAUUUGACAUUUUAUUCUUAUUUAUAACUUUAGUAUCUAACUACUAGAAAAAUCAUAAAAUUUGGAUAUCUUAAAAAUAAACAAACCUGAUAGGUAGAUUCAUGACCAAGUGUGUCUGACUAUACUGUAUAUUUUACCUAAGUUGCGAAUAAGUGGAAAUUUUCCAAAGAGAAUUAUACCAGGUAGCUUAAUAGAGUAAAAAGCUAUUCACUUAAAAUAUUGAUGUUUCCCCACACCUAAGAAGUCACAGGCCUUUUCCAGUCCCUUUUGUCACCCCCUUCCCCAGCCCCCCAGCCUGCAGGAUGUCCCUCUCUUCCAGGCACUUCCCUGGAAAUCAAAGCACAUGCCUGCCCGGUUCUCCCUGUCCAACAAGGAGGUGGGGAACUCUAGACAAGAAUGAAUGAAUAUAAAGAUCUUUAUUGAUUUUUCACUCCUUCAAAUACCUCUUUGCCAAUAGAAAAGAUUCUUAAGCUAUUAUAUUUUCAGAAUGGAAAAGGAAGAUAUAAAUGACUGAAUGUUUUGGUUUUGAUGUUCUUUCAAUCUUAGAUACCAUCUUUUAUAUUUAUAUUUACUUAGUCGGGCCUAAGUCAGUUAAUGGAAUCUUUAGGUAGGUAGAAUUUUCCUGCAAGUGGCUCUUGAAUGAGGGGAAUCCUUUAAAAUGACCAUUUCAAUAUCUUUUUUGUUAAAUGAUAGCAAAUUUCCUGGUACAUUUUGUCAUGCGGAGUUGUGUAGGAUCCAAAUGACGUCACUCACACCUGUUUGCCAGGGUAGUGCCCUCAGAGCCACCUUGGGCCCCUGGCAGUAUCACAGAGGAACCAGCUUCUUGUCAUUCCUGGGGUUACAAAGAAAACAGGAUGAAGAAUUUCUCUAGUGUCUGAUUACAGCUCUGGGGAAUGCAGGUGAGGCCCCUGUGCUUAGUCCACUGGUAAGCUAAGCUCUAAAGGCUGCCUUUCCUUCCCGCUAGGCUCUUCCACAUGCAGAUAACUUGAGAGGGAUGGAGAGGAAUCACAGCAACAAACAUCCACUUCCUGUCAGUCUCCUUUUUUCUGAGGAAGAACUUGCUUUUCAAGAAGGAAAGGGACAGAGUCGGGCCUAAGUAAAAUUUCAGUAUAAACUUAAUUUUUCUCCUCAGUGUCUUUCCAUCUUCCUUUUUUUCUCUUAUUUUUUCUGAGUUUAUUUCUUUUUUUAAUUUAAAUUUAUUGGAGUGACAUUGGUCAACAUGAACAUAUAGGUUUUGGGUGUGGGUUUCUAUACUGCACCAUGUGUCCACCUCCCUCUCUGAAUUUCUUUCCCAGUUCCUGGCUUCAUGUUUUCCCACGAGCACAAUAUAUGAUGGUUGCUCAAAUUCUCACUGCCAUAUACCACCCUUUCCUCAUCAACUGUCCCACAGCAGAAUGGUUCCUUUCAUCUCUCCUCGCCUGAGCACUCAUUGUAGGUCAUCUAGCAAAGUUUUAGGAAGAAGACAAUACAAAGAAACUAACUUUUCAGUUUGUAUUUUAUAAAAGGAAAUGCUAAUCUAAAUGAAUUAAUGGGUUAGGCAAUUGGGAACUAUGAUAUACAUUGCAUUGACUGCAGAAAGCAGUCAUCCGCGAAUGUCUAGACACGUGCUAUCCGAUAUCAAAGCCAUUAGGCUCAUGCGGCUAUUUAAAUCUAAAUUACUUAAUGUAGAAAUUGAGUUUCUCAUGUGCACUAGCUACAUUUCAAGUGCUCGAUGGCCGUAGCGGACAAACAGAUGUUGAACAUUUACAUCAUUGCAAAAACUUCACUAGAAAGCAUUGGUCUAAAACAGGUUGGGAACAUCUGGCCUGCCAAAACAUUAGGGGUGAGUUAAUUAAAUGUUAACCAAACAUAGCAAGGUAAUUUUUAAGUUAUUGAUUUUCUAUGUCUUGCAAACGAUGUUAUAAAUAUCCCAAUGGCCCUUGGCAGAAAAAAGGUUCCCCACACCCCUGGUCUAGAACAUUGCUACCCAAAAUGUAGUCCAUGGACCAGCAGCAUGCUUAUCACAUGGAAACUUACAGAAAGGCAGAUUCUUAGGUUUUCUCCAGACCUGCUGAAUCUGAACCUGGUAACAAGAUUCAUCAGGUGAUUAGCACUAACCUAAAUAUGUUUUAUCCCUCCUAGAUUUUAGGGACUUCUGGUCUUCAAAGGGUGCUCAGAAUAGCUCAUUCACCAACCCACUGUUUCAUAUCGCUUCUCCAGCUAACCCUAGAAAUCAGUUAAAACUCACUUAUUCUCAUUUAUCGCCCUAACUGAGCUUCUUCUCCACCCAUAUUCCUAAUUCAGGCUCUAGCUGAGCCCUACCUACCCAGUUAUAUUUUGGUAGCAAAGGUGGAGCACAGGAAAUUGGCUAACAAACACAGCUGGCCUCUCUCCAGCCCCUCACCCCACAUCUUUGUCACUAACAGUCUACAUUCACUCAGUUUGUUGCUCAUAUGGCAUUCUCAUUGGUUCACAACUUAAGUAACAGGAAAUAUUUUCAGAAGAAUAUGUACUGAGACAAGUAAAGACUGGUUCGGUUUCUUACAACUUCACUUUCUCUUAUCAGUAGAUUAUCCUGUUGACAUAGUUCAUGCUUGAGAACACAGCAGCACACACAUAUUAAAUGAACCAUUAGUCAUGAAAACCCAAGAUUGCAAAUAAAGUGAAUGUGCAUUAAAGCCCUCAAAGAAAGCAUUCGUUUGCUAAACUAAGUCUGUUAAUUAUGCUAAAUUACCUUGAUUUUCAGAUAGCUAAUAAUUCCUUAAAAUAGUGCCUGAAAAUACUUUAUCAUAUUCUUGACCUUGAAAAUACAAAUUAUUUAAUUCUACAAUAAGAUCUAUGCUGAUGACUUAAUAAUCCUUCACUUGAUGUGUACAUAUUGCUUACUGCCAAACAUUACUGCCUAGAUAUUCCAUAUCUAAUUUUCAUGAAUAAAAAGAGCACUACUUUAAUCUUCAUGGAAGUAAUUUUUAACAGGACUUGAGGAAGGAAAUAUUCAUGCAGAGCAUGACUUAGAAAAUUAUAUUGGAAAGUUCUAUACAUCCUUCUAAAGUAAGUGACCUUUUGUCUCCGAAUGGGCUGACAACAUAUUGGACCUUUGUGUUAUGCAGAUGUGAACUCUGUAAGAAUAUAGCUUUUCCUUAAGCUAUAAAAACUCUCUCAACCUUGAUAUCUAGGAUCUCUCCUGUCCUCCUCCCCUUAUUCCUGUAAAAUCAUCCUUCAUUUUUCAGAUGAAAUUUGGGUAAAACAGUGGGUUUAGAGAUUGAUGAUAUAAGUGGCAGUUUUAAAAGAUCAAGCUCUUCAAAUCAGUUGAAAAUAAUGAGAAGUGAAGGUUCCUCUGAUACUGUCAGACUCCCAGGGGGUCCCAUGUGCUUGGGGGCCAUGCCUCACCAUCACCUUCUCCACUCACCAUCCAUGCCAAGUCAGUGGAGCCUGGGACUUGUUUGUCUCUGCUGUGGCAUCUCCCCAGUGGCUUCCGUGUAGCAAUCUCCGCAUCACAUGGGUAGCAUGUAGGAUGCCUUCCUAAAGAAACAACCAAAACUUGUAAAAGGCUGUGAUAAUUGGCUUUAUAAUAAGCAAAGCACUAAUUUUUAAUCUUUAUAGUUGUUUUCUCUUUACUAUUAAUAUUUCCUCCAAGUUUUGUUUAGAGAUAUUUCUGUUAGGGUAAAAAACUGUAAAGAUUUAUUAUUACAAAGAACAGUGAGAUAAAAGACAGCUGGACUGUAUCUAUUUGUAUACUUCUUUUUGUUACUUUUCAGGAAAAGAAGUUUAGCAGAGUAACUCAGACUGCAUUAAACUCGUAGUAAUGUUUUAAAAAUUCCUAUUACUAACAUAGGUGAAGAGAUUAACUUCCUUCGUGUACUUAAGAUAUUGUAUUUACAUAUAUUUAUAUCCUCUCUUAAUUUUUUUAUGCACUUCCAAGUUUUAGUUGGAAAAAUAGAAACAAAGCCACUACUUAGAAGUUCUAAAAACUUUAAAUUUUUCAUUUUAGCUACAAGUAAUUCAUUGCAUAGGAAUUUAUUAAUAGUCUCCAUAUUUCAUAGGAAAUGCAUUUCAAGAGUAAAAUAGCCAAACUUAAAGAAAUAUAGGGUUACUUUAAAAUGUAUUAAAAUAAGUUUGAUACUCAGUUAAUGAUGCCAUUGAAGUAGGAUAAUGCAGUUAGAUAUACAAGCUAUAAAGGAAAAAAGCAUUUAUUUUGUGGUCCUUCCUGUUUGAUUGCACUAUUGUUCACCACAGCUUAGCCAUGUCUACUUCUAUAUUCUAACUAUUAAGCUGAUAUGUAACUAGGGAUUUCUUACAGUUCUGGUAACUGGUAACUAGUGCUGUGAAAGGUUUUGGUAUUGUAACAUUCCCAGUUUUGUGAGUUAUAUAUUGUAUAUUGAAGAUGAUUAAUAAAUUGAAGUAAUAUAUUUGACUAGAGCUGGGAAAACAUGGUAAUUAUUUUCAAAUGUUUAAGUUUAAUCAAAAAAAUUUUUUCUCUUAAGUGAGAUAAAAGUCUCACUUUUGUUAAAAUGUCUAUUUAUACAACAGGUUUCUCCUUUUAUUGAUUUUAUUAAUUUUCAUAUUAAAAUUUUUCUUAUCUUUUGUACCAAAAUAAUUAUCAUGCUAGGUAUUCGAACUGCCAAGAUGUAUUUUAGUUUGCUGGACUUUGGCAGACAAAAUAUUUAAUAACAAACCAGCUUUGUAUAUUUUGUGGCUUGGGGGGCAAGAUUUUACCUUUGAAUAUCUAAGUGCUGUUAUCAGCAAAGUCAACAUAGACAGUAUUACUUGUAAUUAUCAGUAGAAGAUUUUCACAGAUUGUAUAAAUCAGUGCAUUUAUUUAUUAUGUUGUGAAAUGUAAUCUUUAUACAAAUGCAUAUUCUAGCUCUUUUCUUGUAACUGCUGUUGCUUAGAGUGUAAUAGCCCUAUUAAUGAUUUACUUGCAUACUUGAAGUACUCAUUUCUGUCAAACAGAUGCCCAAUUUAUUUUUAAAAGCUAUGGAUAACUGAACAGUAAUAGAGAUGUUGUUAAAAAAAAUAAUUUUGUUUAAUAUAAAUAUGAAAAAAAGCAUAAAGCCAAAAUGGAAUCACCGCUCUUAGGAUUUAAUGUAGCCAGGAUCCCAUUCUGCUAUUUUUUGCCAAUCUGCAUAUAGUUUAUCUUCAAAUCAGAACUUCUUUUCUUCUGUAUUUGUUGUAAAAGACAUUUUAGGAUUAUACUGCCAGUAUGAAUUCAAAUGCACUUAAGAAACUUGAACCCCAAAAAAUCUCACAUACCUCCAGCAGCUAGCUCUAGGUUCCAGGAUGUAUAUUUUUAACAAUGGUUGCAUUUGAAUCUGGGCUACUUUACAAAUAGUAACCAUGGUGGAUAAUUUUGUUUCUGUCAAUUUUGUUUGUUUCUGUCAAUUAUGUCAAUGGCAUUUGAGUUCUGAAUUAUUCUUGUUUAAAAAUAUUCUCUAUACAACUAAUUGAAAAAACUAAAAUUCUAAACCAUAAUGGCAUGCAUGACACAGAAUAAAAUCACAUUUUCAAGAAAGAAAAUAAAACUGUUCUGACUUAAUGUGAGGCAGUGUUAGGAACCAAAGAAAUCACUUUAACGAGCCCUAAAUUCAACUGUCUCAUAGUGUAAGCUGUAGAUGAAUUGUGAACUAUUUUAGCACUAUAAUAGAUUAGGAAUUAAUUUACUAUAAUUUUAAAGACAGUUUUUGUUAAUUUUACUGUUGUACAAUUAUUGAAGGCAGGAAAAAAAAGAAAUUAUGGGAGAAACAUCAUGUGGAUAUUAAAAGAAAAAGAAACUUGAGUUCUUUUGAAAAGAUUUGGAAAUAGUUUGAAUUUAGAUAUCUUUUACCUUAUAUUAUAGAAACACAAAACACGUGUGAAUUGUAUGGUAGGUACAAGACCACAAAAACAAUGUCGCUCUGGUGAAGUCUAUUAGACCAUAUCUGUGUUUUAUCGAAGUAACCAGUGAAUUCAGGGGCCCAUUCUCCUGUUGAAAUUUAGAAGUCAGUGAAGCAGAUAGCUUGGAUAACCUAAUCUUUUGCAUUUCCUACAUGAGGCAAAUAUCUGUGCUUUCUCAACUUAGUGAUUGGUAUAGGGAGAACUAGUCAGAAGGCCUUAGCUAGUUCCUGUCGAAGAGCUCUGGUAAAUAUAGAUCAGACUAAAGAGAUUUUCAUGAAUUUGCUAAGCCUUCAAAUUUUUGGCAGUGAUAGAUUUUACUUUCAUUUGAAAAAAAAUUAUUAAAAUUUGUAUUAUAACACAUAGCUGAAUUCUGUGAUUCUUGAGGUGGGAAUAUGGUUUAGAUGUAUUGGGUUCCAUAACUGACUUUGAUACUGGCUCACUGUGUCCUUUCUACAAACUAUAUGUUUUGGUGCCUCGGUUUCCCCAAUUAGACAUAACAUACAAUAUUACUAAUUAUAAGUAUUUGGGAAUUUUUCUUUUACAAAAGGAGUUAUGUAAGCAUGAAUCAUACCUAAAUUUAUCAUUGCUUCCCCACUGUUAUUUGAGUUAUAAAGAAAAGCUUUCAAGACUAUAGCUUGAAAAUUAAAAUUCCCAAAUUAAUAUCUCUUGAUGCUCAGUCUUUUUACAGGAAGUUUUGUUAAAAUGAGAGUGAACUUACCUUAGUACUGUGAGUACGAGAGUAGGUUUGGGUAUUUUCCUCUGUGUACUACAGGUUCAUAUUAUUCAGUUUAGGGUCAACUAAAAACUCACUUCUAAAAUUUCCAAAAAUUUAGUGGUUUUUUUUUCUGCACCCACCCCAAACAACCAUUUUACAGCUGUGAAAGUUAAGACUUGCAUGUUUUUUCCUUAUAUUAGUAACUCCCUAAGAGGAAAAUGUUUUCCCUCCUUCCCACCUUCCUUCCUUUUUUCUUUCUCUUUUGGAAAAUGUUUCUUUAAAUCAGUGGUUGAAAAAAAUGGAACGCUUUUACCUUGUGACAUCACUGCUUCCUCUCUUAACUUGUAAUGUCACUCCCUAUGCUAAGUGAAUGAUGGUUCCUUGCUGUUUGAUCCAAACAUGUAGAUCCCACUACAUUCUCUGGCUGUGGCGUGCUACUUCCUAAUGUAAAUUACCUUCAAAACUUCCUGCAAAAAGACUAAACUAGAGAUUGCCUUAAUUAUUAUCAUAAUGUAAACCUGAGUGUAAUUAAAUGGAAAAAAAAAAAGUAGAAUAACCUACUUAAAAUCAUUAAAUAUAGAUGAGGGUAAAUGAAUAUAUGCCUUUAUUUUGCCUGAUAUUUGAAUUCAGUCACCAUCUGAUUCUUGACUUAAGAUUUCUUUGCAAAAUAUGAUAUUUUUUUAUAGCAUAAUAUUGUCACUUGGAGCUUCUAUUGCAUCCUCCUCCCCUAAAACUGUAUGACAUAAGGGAAAAGGUUGACUCUGAACUUAUUCAGAUAGUAUUUUGACCUGUCUUAAUAGCACAGCUUAGUUUUCAUAAUGACACAUUCCUUAAUUGAUGAUUCUAGAAUAAUUUGACAUAGUGACAGGAAUAAAUCAUUUUUCUGGGAACUUGCUUCCCACAAUGACCUAUUAUACGGUUGACCUUAGUAUAAUUAGGGUUAAUUAUAAUUUUAUUAAGAGCUGGCCCUUUAUACAGAUUACAACUGUGCGGCAGAUUUUAAUAUACAUACUGUUGAGGAUGAAAAUAAUGCAAACUUGAGCAGUUCUUUCUUUUGUUUCUUCUCCUUCUACUUGAAAAACUUUCAGAAAGCUUUGAGAGAUGACACCGUUUCCAGAGCAAUAUAUUCUUCCAGGAAACUCAUAAACUAAAAUAUGGAACAAAACAAAUGUUUAAUCCUAAUCUUGGUUUUGGGCUUUAUAAACAAAAGCAUUCUAUAUGUCAAAGUUUCUUUUUCAGAAUUUCUGCAGUUGCAUAUUUCAUUUUGUCCAUCUCAAAAAUUGAAUCAGCAGUUUAUGUUCUAUUUCUAAUUAGUUGUGGUAAGGCAAUAAUUGCUUUUGUCAGUACAACCUUUCACCAUUUUUCUCUCCUGUGCUUUUUCUGUUUUUCAGUAAACUCUUUUCUGACCUUCAUUGUCCCACUUCUAGUCUUACCUUCCUUAGGGUUGUCAGAGUGGUCUUUCUAAAACACAAAUCUGCUUUGCGUCACUUUACUAAAAGUUCUUAAAUACGCUCUUCUUUCUUUACAAUAUAGCAUCCUAACUCUUCAGCAUGAUGGAUAAUGAUCUCUAUAAACUUGAGUUUUUUGCAUCCCCACCCACCAAUUUCCACCCCCACCCCUUUUUUUUUAAAGCAUCCUUGCCCACCAUUUUCCUGGAAUUUGGAACCAUUCACAACUUAGUCCUCAACAUAAUCACAUCCUAUAGGUCAACUCAUUCAAGAUUCAGUUCAGAUUUCUCAAACCAAGUUAAGCUUUUCAUCCAUGCUCCAUAGAAUCUUGACAUUUUUUCUAUUAAAAAAAUUUCAACAAUUGUAUAUAUUAUAUGCCUGUCCCCCUUCUGAAUUUCUCUUGUUUAAUUUCUGGUCUCACCAUCUAGGAAGCACAUAAUAGGAUUUUAAUAAGUGUUUUUGAAUGAAGGAUGUAAAUAGAGAACCCAAACUUUUCCAUAGGUUUAUACUUUCACAAGUGAAAACUUGGGCGUCUCUGAGAGUCCACAUGAGGUCUGCACGUAUUCAUGAGCACACACACUGAGAAACCAACAGAAGAUGGACAGAGGGAAGAACAGUCACUUUAUGAAGGAUAACCAUUUGUUAACUAUUCAUCAGAGACUCUUACCAAGUCUGAAUUCUUGUUUCUAAAUAUGAGGCUUAUCAAAAUCACAUAACUGACAAAUUCUUAUUUGUAAUUCCUAAAUGUGCUGUAAAGGUGAUCUUUAUCUUUUGUAGACAUUCGGUAUUCACAUCUAUAUAAAACAUACACUGAUUACCUACACAAAAUAAUGAGACUUCAGAAAGAAUAAAAACAAUAAUGAAGGUGAAAUUUUCUUUUAAAUAAUGUUCAACCAAAGAUAUUGACUGAAUUUUUGUGAUUUCAGGUCAAGUGUAGCUAAUGUCUAUUUCUCUUUAUUCUGAUGCAAAUGUAAGGCUUGUUUAUGACUUUCACCCAUUAUAGAAUAUAAAGAAUAAAAGCUAUUAUCUGUGCA